AUUGAACGCUGGCGGCAUGCUUUACACAUGCAAGUCGGACGGCAGCACAGAGAAGCUUGCUUCUUGGGUGGCGAGUGGCGAACGGGUGAGUAACAUAUCGGAACGUACCGAGCAGUGGGGGAUAACUAAUCGAAAGAUUAGCUAAUACCGCAUAUUUUCUGAGGAAGAAAGCAGGGGACCUUUGGGCCUUGCGCUGUUUGAGCGGCCGAUAUCUGAUUAGCUAGUUGGUGGGGUAAAGGCCUACCAAGGCGACGAUCAGUAGCGGGUCUGAGAGGAUGAUCCGCCACACUGGGACUGAGACACGGCCCAGACUCCUACGGGAGGCAGCAGUGGGAAUUUUGGACAAUGGGCGCAAGCCUGAUCCAGCCAUGCCGCGUGUCUGAAGAAGGCCUUCGGGUUGUAAAGGACUUUUGUCAGGGAAGAAAAGGGCGGGGUUAAUACCCCUGUCUGAUGACGGUACCUGAAGAAUAAGCACCGGCUAACUACGUG
This 489-nucleotide ribosomal RNA is filed under the name uncultured bacterium. RNAcentral describes it as "partial 16S ribosomal RNA". It matches the Rfam family "Bacterial small subunit ribosomal RNA", at positions 30 to 507 of the family's 1533-position model. The record is from RNAcentral.